UAAUCUCAGCAUUUGGAAGAUCAGGAGU
Molecule: non-coding RNA, 28 nt
Filed under: Mus musculus (house mouse)
Lineage: Eukaryota; Metazoa; Chordata; Mammalia; Rodentia; Muridae
Source: RNAcentral